Molecule: non-coding RNA, 175 nt
Organism: Ceratotherium simum simum (southern white rhinoceros)
Lineage: Eukaryota; Metazoa; Chordata; Mammalia; Perissodactyla; Rhinocerotidae
Source: RefSeq, a predicted model, not a curated record
CUGGGGGAGGGCAGAAUGUGGAGAUAGUGUUUAAUGGCUAUAGAGUUUCCAUUUGGGAUAAAGAGAAAGUUCUGGAAAUAAAUCUGAGGUGAUGGUUGCCCAAAAUUGUGAAUGGGCUUAAUGCCACUGAGUUGUACACUUAAAAAUGGUCAAGAUGGUAAAUUUUAUGUUAUGU